UACGUAGGGAGCAAGCGUUGUCCGGAAUCAUUGGGCGUAAAGAGCGCGUAGGCGGCCCUGUAAGUCCGUUCUGAAAGUCAAAGGCUCAACCUUUGAAAGCGGAUGGAUACUGCAGGGCUAGAGUCCGGAAGAGGCGAGUGGAAUUCCUGGUGUAGCGGUGGAAUGCGCAGAUAUCAGGAGGAACACCAAUAGCGAAGGCAGCUCGCUGGGACGUUACUGACGCUGAGACGCGAAAGCGUGGGGAGCAAACAGG
RNAcentral lists this ribosomal RNA (253 nucleotides) under uncultured bacterium. RNAcentral describes it as "partial 16S ribosomal RNA". It matches the Rfam family "Bacterial small subunit ribosomal RNA", at positions 524 to 776 of the family's 1533-position model. The record is from RNAcentral.